Molecule: long non-coding RNA, 3770 nt
Filed under: Cinara cedri
Lineage: Eukaryota; Metazoa; Arthropoda; Insecta; Hemiptera; Aphididae
Source: RNAcentral
AGACCGAACUCGGCCAUGGCACUUAUAUCAAAGGUUUAGAGACUACGUGCACAUAUGAUUCAUCAACAGAAGAGUUUAUUUUAAACAGUCCGACGUUAACUUCGUACAAAUGGUGGCCCGGCGGAUGUAUGUUUUAUAUAUAACGAAUGUCAAAACAAUUUAUCAACAUUCAACGCUGGAUAAAAUUAUAAUUUCAGUGGGCCAUAGUUGUAAUUACGCUAUUGUUGUCGCUCAACUCUACACACAAGGGAUACAUCGCGGAUUGCAUCUGUUCAUUGUGCAGAUAAGAGAUUCGGAAACGUGGAUGCCUAUGCCAGGUGCAUGUUAUUUUUUGAUUAAUUUUAAUAACAAGAAUCACGUUAUUAUUGAAAAACAAUUAUAUUUAUCUGCCAGGAUAAAAAAAUAACUAAAACAUUGAUAUAGGAAUCACGGUCGGUGAAAUCGGCAGUAAAUUCAGUUUGAACUCUACCAACAAUGGGUACGUGGCAUUUGAUAAUGUCCGAAUACCUCGAAUGCAAAUGUUAAUGAAAAAUUCGAUAGUUCAUAAGGUAAUGAGUUAAUGGUGUCGUGAUGAACGAUGUUUUUUUAAUGCGAUUGCAUGGAUCUAGAAAUAUGUUAAACUAUGAAAGGAGGGGAGAGAGUCGGGGUGAUCAUUUUUUAAUACUUCACUUAAGAUUUCUUAUGACGCCAUUACGUGAUGAUGUUAACUGGUUAAAUUAAUUAAGUAUAUAAAUCACAAUGCGUAAUUAAAAAUUGAAAUUUUGAGUAUAGGAUGGAACUCACGAAGUUGUAACUCGGGAUAUAUUGACAUACAGUACGAUGGUAUUCGUACGGGUAGCAAUUGUCAAAACCGUGAUUAACAACUACUUAAUGCGGUCAGCUGUAAUCGCAAUCAGGUACAGUGCGAUUCGGCGGCAAUCGAAAUUAAAACCUGGGUAAUAUAUUAUAUUUCACAAUAUAUACGGUAUAUUAUGUUACGUUGGUUUAUACUUACUUGCGGUACAGGGAACGCGAGCCACAAAUAUUGGACUACCAAACGCAACAGUACAAACUGUUUCCGACCAUUGCUACGUGUUUAGUGUAUAAAUUUGCUGCAAAAUGGCUAUGCGAUAAAUACUCUACUGUAAAUUCAGACAUAGAACGAGGAGAUUUAAAACAAUUACCAGAGGUUGGUACACUCAAUAAAUUGAGUUUCUUAAUUAUUAAUAUUAUCUGUUAUAAAGUAUAUUGCAGUUAAUGAUUUAAAAACCAUAGUGAAUGCAUACGAAUUUUGACUACGCAUUAUUUAAUACGUUAUACCUUCUUCUACAUUAAUAAUAGGAAGUGUCUGUCUAUCUGGGCACGGCGAACAGCCAAAUAUAUCGCUUAUAAGAAUGCAAUCUUUUUUUUUUUUAAAUAUAUUGGUUACCAAAAUGUUAUUAAUUAUUUAUUAGUGUUAGUAUGAACUAUGAAGAUGGUGGUUUUCUAUCACAUAAUAACAAUUCUUUUUUGUAAUUGGUUAGUAUCUAUGGUAAGCUUUUGGUUUACCAGAGUGUUUAUACGUUUUUACUUCAUGACUAAAUACGUUAAUUGCCUACUUAACGUGUUGUUGAAUCUAGUAAAACAAUUUCAUGUACAUUGUACACGCUCAUAAAUAUUAAUUACAAAAAAUGACUGUUAUUGUUUACUGUAUUAUUAAUAAUGCUAAGAUGAUUUUAUCGUAUUAUUAUAUUUAUACAUAGCAAUUGGUUUAGGAGUUUAUACUGCAUUUGAAAUCAGUAAAUAUACGAGUCGUUGGAAUUGUCUCUUUAGCAAGUAUAAUAAGUGGUGAAAAUUUGGCGAUGCACAAGUCCUUUAAGAAACUCUUGUUAAAUUAUAUUAUUUUACGGUUUUGAUAGUCAAUAGAAUGGGGAAAUCAAAAAAAUAAUUAUAAAAUCAAUCUCUGUAAAAACUAAACAAGAAAAUGGAUAAAAAUUAAUAAUCGCACGGGUUAUUUCGAUUUCUCGGUUUUUUAAGGUACAAUAUUUUAGUCAUAACCCUACCAUACCUAUGUGUCAAUAAAAAUUGACCACCUCUUAAUGAAGUAAACUGAUUUUCCCUCCAGUAACUCGUGUCUCCCUAAAAUACGGGCCUGCUAAUGAGCCACAAAAUAUUAUAAAUUUUCCCUGAUCUAUCUAAAGCCCCAUUCCGCACCUGGUGGUCAAUGUAUAUUGACGUGUAUAUUCACGCAUAAAUCGGUACAAAUGUUUAUAAUCCAAAAUUGAAUUUCGAAUAAAAAUGUUCUUAAAAUAUAAUUUAUAGCUACACGCUAUGGCGUGUUGUUUAAAAGCUGUCUGUACGGCAGAUGCGGCUAUGGGCGUCACGAAUUGUCGUUUAGCAUGCGGCGGUCAUGGUUAUAUGACCAGUAGUAAUCUACCUAACAUUUAUGCGCAAACCACCGCAGCAGAAACUUAUGAAGGAGAAAACACAGUAUUACUUUUGCAGACAGCUAGGUACUUACUACUAGUAGCAUUAAGUUAUUGUAACGAUUUUAACAAAAACAUAAUACUUAUUACCGAUUGUUUAUUACCUAAUUCAAAUUAUUUUUAAACUUUAUAGAUUUUUGAUGAAAUCGUAUCACGAUGUGAAAAUGGAAAAUAUGCCGUUGUCGAACACUAUAUCUUAUCUGAGAGAUUAUACAGAUUUGAACAAAUUCCGAUGGACUACAACAUUAGAAUGUAUGGCAAAUGCAUUUUAUCAAGUCGCCGGAAGGUAUACGAGAUUUAUUUUACAACAAAAUGUUUAACUUGCUAACUUACUAUUAUAUUAAUUUUAAACAUAUUUUAGUAAGAUCGAAGACUGUUAUUCAACCAUAAAACGGAUGGUGAACUCUGGAGUUACUCAGGAGGACGCUUGGAAUCAAACGUCCAUCAAACUAACUCAAGCAUCUGAAGUACAUAAAUACCAUUUUAAUAAUUUAAAUAAGGAAAUUAAAAAACUUCAUCUAACACGGUUUAUACUUUUCGUGUUUUAUAAAGAAAAAUCACUCUCAACACGAAUAUAUUCUCUGUCUAUGGGCGUAAAAAUUAAUAUUUUAAAUCUCUCCUCUCGUUACACGUUACACAUGUCGAUGGUCGUAUCUUUAUUAUCCUUCUCUUAAACAGUAUUUCAGAAGCAUCAGAUUUUCUAUCGAAUAUCUCAUUUAGUGUUCCUAAUAAUCACACCAGACUACCACAGACUAUUCCCUACACUUACACAUUAUUUUCAAAUUUAUUAAGUUAGUAUAUAUGUAUAUAUUUUAUUAAUAUAAGUAAAAGUUAAAUUAUUGUAAUAUUUUACUUGAUUUUUAUAGGCACACUGCAGAGCAUUUGUUAUCAAUGUUUAUCUAAAAACUCUCCAGACGCUUACAUUUUCGACCGAGUUAAUGAAAGUACUCAUCGAUCUGGGUGAACUUAUUUGUGCAUAUUGGAUAAUAAAUCGACUUGGAGAUUUUCUUCAGGUAAAUUAUUUUCUUCAGCUGUUAUAAUAAUUUCAUGUUUUUAUAUGUACGCGAUUUUGUUCACAGUUCUCGAAUCUUAAAAUUAACGACGUGCCUUCGGUACAAUUGUUGUUUGAAGACUGCUUAAAACGUAUCAGACCAAAUGCAGUUGGUCUUGUCGAUAGUUUUGAUAUUCGCGAUGAAGUAUUAGACUCGUCGCUUGGCUGUUAUGACGGGAACGUCUACGAACGGAUUUUCGAAGAAGCUAAAAAAAGCCCUUUGAACAAAGAACCCGUGAAUCGUUCGUUUGAAUUGUACUUGAAACCAUUUAUAA